This 254-nucleotide ribosomal RNA is filed under the name uncultured bacterium. RNAcentral describes it as "partial 16S ribosomal RNA". It matches the Rfam family "Bacterial small subunit ribosomal RNA", at positions 524 to 776 of the family's 1533-position model. The record is from RNAcentral.
UACGUAGGGCGCAAGGCGUUGUCCGGAAUUAUUGGGCGUAAAGAGCUCGUAGGCGGCUUGUCACGUCGGGUGUGAAAGCCCGGGGCUUAACCCCGGGUCUGCAUUCGAUACGGGCUAGCUAGAGUGUGGUAGGGGAGAUCGGAAUUCCUGGUGUAGCGGUGAAAUGCGCAGAUAUCAGGAGGAACACCGGUGGCGAAGGCGGAUCUCUGGGCCAUUACUGACGCUGAGGAGCGAAAGCGUGGGGAGCGAACAGG